This 484-nucleotide ribosomal RNA is filed under the name uncultured bacterium. Its description in RNAcentral is "partial 16S ribosomal RNA". It matches the Rfam family "Bacterial small subunit ribosomal RNA", at positions 30 to 507 of the family's 1533-position model. The record is from RNAcentral.
CUUGCACGCUGGCGGCAGGCCUAACACAUGCAAGUCGAGCGGAUGAAGGGAGCUUGCUCCUGGAUUCAGCGGCGGACGGGUGAGUAAUGCCUAGGAAUCUACCUGGUAGUUGGGGAUAACGUCCGGAAACGGGCGCUAAUACCGCAUACGUCCUGAGGGAGAAAGUGGGGGAUCUUCGGACCUCACGCUAUCAGAUGAGCCUAGGUCGGAUUAGCUAGUUGGUGGGGUAAAGGCCUACCAAGGCGACGAUCCGUAACUGGUCUGAGAGGAUGAUCAGUCACACUGGAACUGAGACACGGUCCAGACUCCUACGGGAGGCAGCAGUGGGGAAUAUUGGACAAUGGGCGAAAGCCUGAUCUAGCCAUGCCGCGUGUGUGAAGAAGGUCUUCGGAUUGUAAAGCACUUUAAGUUGGGAGGAAGGGCAGUAAGUUAAUACCUUGCUGUUUUGACGUUACCAACAGAAUAAGCACCGGCUAACUUCGUG